GAUGAACGCUGGCGGCGUGCCUAAUACAUGCAAGUCGAGCGAACAGACGAGGAGCUUGCUCCUCUGACGAUAGCGGCCGACGGGUGAGUAACAUGUGGAUACCCUACCUAUAAGACUGGGAUAACUUCGGGAAACCGGCGCUUAUACCGGAUAAUAUAUUGAACCGCAUGGUUCAAUAGUGAAAGACGGUUUUGCUGUCACUUAUAGAUGGAUCCGCGCCGCUUUAGCUAGUUGGUAAGGUAACGGCUUACUAAGGCAACGAUGCGUAGCCGACGGGAGAGGGUGAUCGGCCGCACUGGAAGGGAGACACGGUCCAGGGGCCUACGGGAGGCAGCAGGAGGGAAUCGUCCGCAAGGGGCGAGAACCUGACGGAACAGGGCCAAGUGAGUGACGAAGAUUUUCGGAUCGGAAAACUCUGUUAAUAGGGAAGAACAAAUGUGUACGUCGCUAUGCAGGUCUUGACGGUACCUAAUCAAGAAGCCACGGCUAACUACGUG
Molecule: ribosomal RNA, 497 nt
Filed under: uncultured bacterium
Lineage: Bacteria
Description: partial 16S ribosomal RNA
Rfam family: Bacterial small subunit ribosomal RNA
Source: RNAcentral